UGAGUAACCUGCCCUUAACUCUGGGAUAAGCCUGGGAAACUGGGUCUAAUACCGGAUAUGACUCCUCAUCGCAUGGUGGGGGGUGGAAAGCUUUAUUGUGGUUUUGGAUGGACUCGCGGCCUAUCAGUUUGUUGGUGAGGUAAUGGCCCACCAAGGCGACGACGGGUAGCCGGCCUGAGAGGGUGACCGGCCACACUGGGACUGAGACACGGCCCAGACCUCCGUACGGGAGCAG
This 235-nucleotide ribosomal RNA is filed under the name uncultured bacterium. RNAcentral describes it as "partial 16S ribosomal RNA". It matches the Rfam family "Bacterial small subunit ribosomal RNA", at positions 118 to 347 of the family's 1533-position model. The record is from RNAcentral.